GACGAACGCUGGCGGCGUGCGUAACACAUGCAAGUCGAACGAGAGAGUGAGAGAAGCUUGCUUUUCUUACGAUCGAGUGGCAAACGGGUGAGUAACGCGUAAACAACCUGCCCCGCAGAUGGGGACAACAGCUGGAAACGGCUGCUAAUACCGAAUACGCUCCUCUUAGCGCAUGGUAAGAGGAAGAAAGGGUGGCCUCUGGAACAAGCUACCGCUGUGGGAGGGGUUUGCGUCUGAUUAGCUGGUUGGAGGGGUAACGGCCCACCAAGGCGACGAUCAGUAGCCGGUCUGAGAGGAUGAACGGCCACAUUGGAACUGAGACACGGUCCAGACUCCUACGGGAGGCAGCAGUGGGGAAUCUUCCGCAAUGGGCGAAAGCCUGACGGAGCAACGCCGCGUGAGUGAAGACGGCCUUCGGGUUGUAAAGCUCUGUUAUAGGGGACGAACGGCCGGGUAGCGAAGAGGUACCCGGC
This 473-nucleotide ribosomal RNA is filed under the name Megasphaera geminata. RNAcentral describes it as "bacterial SSU rRNA". It matches the Rfam family "Bacterial small subunit ribosomal RNA", at positions 28 to 468 of the family's 1533-position model. Lineage: Bacteria; Bacillati; Bacillota; Negativicutes; Veillonellales; Veillonellaceae. The record is from RNAcentral.